UGGGGAAUAUUGGACAAUGGGCGCAAGCCUGAUCCAGCCAUGCCGCGUGAGUGAUGAAGGCCUUAGGGUUGUAAAGCUCUUUCGGCGGGGACGAUAAUGACGGUACCCGCAGAAGAAGCCCCGGCUAACUUCGUGCCAGCAGCCGCGGUAAUACGAAGGGGGCUAGCGUUGCUCGGAAUCACUGGUCGUAAAGGGCGCGUAGGCGGACAUUUAAGUCGGGGGUGAAAGCCCAGGGCUCAACCCUGGAAUUGCCUCCGAUACUGGGUGUCUCGAGACCGGAAGAGGUGAGUGGAACUGCGAGUGUAGAGGUGAAAUUCGUAGAUAUUCGCAAGAACACCAGUGGCGAAGGCGGCUCACUGGUCCGGUUCUGACGCUGAGGCGCGAAAAGCGUGGGGAGCAAACAGGAUUAGAUACCCUGGUAGUCCACGCCGUAAACGAUGGAUGCUAGCCGUUGGCAGGCUUGCCUGUCAGUGGCGCAGCUAACGCUUUAAGCAUCCCGCCUGGGGAGUACGGCCGCAAGGUUAAAACUUAAAUGAAUUGACGGGGUCAUAGCUGUUUCCU
Molecule: ribosomal RNA, 561 nt
Filed under: uncultured bacterium
Lineage: Bacteria
Description: partial 16S ribosomal RNA
Rfam family: Bacterial small subunit ribosomal RNA
Source: RNAcentral